RNAcentral lists this ribosomal RNA (720 nucleotides) under uncultured anaerobic ammonium-oxidizing bacterium. RNAcentral's name for it is "bacterial SSU rRNA". It matches the Rfam family "Bacterial small subunit ribosomal RNA", at positions 565 to 1274 of the family's 1533-position model. The record is from RNAcentral.
GAGCACGUAGGUGGGUUUGUAAGUCAGAUGUGAAAGCCUUCUGUUCAACGGGAGAAUUGCAUCUGAAACUACAAAUCUUGAGUGUAGGAGGGGAGAAUGGAGCUUCUGGUGGAGCGGUGAAAUGCGUAGAUAUCAGAAGGAACGCCGGCGGCGAAAGCGAUUCUCUGGCCUAUUACUGACACUCAGUGUGCGAAAGCUAGGGGAGCAAACGGGAUUAGAUACCUCGGUAGUCCUAGCCGUAAACGAUGGGCACUAAGUAGAGGGAAUUACCGAUACUCUCUCUGCCGUAGCUAACGCAUUAAGUGCCCCGCCUGGGGAGUACGGCCGCAAGGCUAAAACUCAAAAGAAUUGACGGGGGCUCGCACAAGCGGUGGAGCAUGUGGCUUAAUUCGAUGCAACGCGAAAAACCUUACCGGGGCUUGACAUGGUAGAAGUAGGAACCCGAAAGGGUAACGAACGGUAUCCAGUCCGUAACUAUUACAGGUGUUGCAUGGCUGUCGUCAGCUCGUGUCGUGAGACGUUGGGUUAAGUCCCCUAACGAGCGAAACCCUUGUUUUUAGUUGCCAGCGGGUUAUGCCGGGCACUCUAGAAAGACUGCCGUCGUCAAGACGGAGGAAGGUGGGGAUGACGUCAAGUCAUCAUGGCCCUUAUGCCCCGGGCUGCACACGUGCUACAAUGGUCGGUACAAACGGAAGCGAAGCCGAGAGGUGAAGCGAAUCC